Molecule: long non-coding RNA, 461 nt
Organism: Nymphaea colorata (pocket water lily)
Lineage: Eukaryota; Viridiplantae; Streptophyta; Magnoliopsida; Nymphaeales; Nymphaeaceae
Exons: 3
Source: RefSeq, a predicted model, not a curated record
UUGAUGUUUUUCUUUAAUCGCAUCGGCUCCUAAUGCUUCCGAACUGUGUGUUUUGCAGGUUUCCUCCUUUUCCAUCGCUUAUCCUUCCUUCCCGUGUUCGCUCUAUGGGUUCCCUCGUUUACAGGAGCGCGGAAGUUCAAUUUCUUGAGGAGAUUCAAAAACCUAGGGUAGCAAAGGGCACAUCAUGUCGCCUGGGGUUCUGAUCUCGAGAGGACGUCAAGAUCGAGAGUGUUCCACGGCAAGAAUUAGGUCGGCAUUGAGACAUCGUUUUGGACGGAACGGGGUGGCCAGGUUAAAGUACACAUUACCCGGAAGGACAUGACCUACGAAGUGAGCUAGCACCUUGAUUCGUUCCUAAAUUGGGGAUCAUGGGCUGUUCUUCAGCACCAUUUAAGGGUGAGGUCAGCCUUUCUUCUCCUUUUAGCUGGUUUGAGGAAGGGAAGUGAUGCUGUAUUGAUGAU